Molecule: ribosomal RNA, 1252 nt
Filed under: human gut metagenome
Description: bacterial LSU rRNA
Rfam family: Bacterial large subunit ribosomal RNA
Source: RNAcentral
UCGAAAGUCUAAGGUUUCCUGGGGAAGGUUCGUCCGCCCAGGGUAAGUCGGGACCUAAGGAGAGGCCGAGAAGGCGUAUCUGAUGGACAGCAGGUUGAAAUUCCUGCACUACCGAUACUUUAAAAAACGUCAAGGGACGCAGGAGAGGAAGGAAAGCGAGGAAGAGGAAAGACUCGUAUCGAAAGAUAUAGUGAAAAAAUGAAGUAACGAAUUUCCAAGAAUCACACUGACGAGAAAAGCUUGAUGACAUUAAGUAAAGGUACCCGUACCGCAAACCGACACAGGUAGAUGAGGAGAGGAUCCUAAGACGAACGGGAGAAGCAUUGUUAAGGAACUCGGCAAAAUGACCCCGUAACUUCGGGAGAAGGGGAACCUAGGUAAAACUAGGUCGCAGAGAAAAGGCCCAAGCAACUGUUUAACAAAAACACAGGUUUCUGCUAAAUCGAAAGAUGAAGUAUAGGAGCUGACGCCUGCCCAGUGCUGGAAGGUCAAGGGGAGAUGUUAGAAGAAAUUCGAAGCAUAGAACCAAAGCCCCAGUGAACGGCGGCCGUAACUAUAACGGUCCUAAGGUAGCGAAAUUCCUUGUCAGGUAAGUUCUGACCCGCACGAAAGGCGUAAUGAUUUGGGCACUGUCUCGACAAUGUACCCGGCGAAAUUGUAGUACUAGUGAAGAUGCUAGUUACCUGCGACAAGACAGAAAGACCCCAUGGAGCUUUACUGUAGUUUGAUAUUGGGUUUUGGUAAUUUAUGUACAGGAUAGGUGGGAGACAGAGAAGGAUGUGCGUCAGCAUAUCUGGAGUCAACGUUGGGAUACCACUCUUAAGUUAUUGAAAUUCUAACUUGUGAUCAUAAACUGGUCAGAGGACAAUGUCAGACGGGCAGUUUGACUGGGGCGGUCGCCUCCAAAAGAGUAACGGAGGCGCCCAAAGGUUCCCUCAGUGCGGACAGAAAUCGCACAAAAGAGUGUAAAGGCAGAAGGGAGCUUAACUGGAAGAUAGACAUAUCGAGCAGAUACGAAAGUAGGGCUUAGUGAUCCGGUGGAAUUGAAUGGAAAAGCCAUCGCUCAACGGACAAAAGUUACCCUGGGGAUAACAGGCUUAUCUCCCCCAAGAGUUCACAUCGACGGGGAGGUUUGGCACCUCGAUGUCGGCUCAUCGCAUCCUGGAGCUGAAGUCGGUUCCAAGGGUUGGGCUGUUCGCCCAUUAAAGCGGUACGCGAGCUGGGUUCAGAACGUCGUGAGACAGUUCGGUCC